This is an RNA transcript of Danaus plexippus (monarch butterfly), 1017 nucleotides long. RefSeq lists it as uncharacterized. The record is from RefSeq and is a predicted model, not a curated record. The transcript is spliced from 4 exons. Lineage: Eukaryota; Metazoa; Arthropoda; Insecta; Lepidoptera; Nymphalidae.
AAUCAGGAUGUGCAUUGUGGUGGAGUUCAGUAAAUUACUUCAUUGACUUGACCAGCAUCAGUCGUCCGCUGUCGGGGUUGGCUGGCUGUCAUCAUGGACACCAAACGUUUUAUAACUCUUAUAUGGUUUUUUAUAACUAUAAGAAACGGUCUGUCGAUUCGUUGCUACGAAUGUAACAGCGCAAACAACUCGAUGUGCUUGGACCCUUCAUCAUACGAUAAAGAGAGCCUUCACAAGUAUCUUCAAACCACCAACUGCGAGAGAAGCUCGCUCCUGACGCAGGAUGUUGACAAAAAGAAUCUGUUCUGCCGGAAGAUUACACAGACAAUUCUUUACAAAGGUCAUGAACCCGAGGUGCGGGUCACUCGGGGUUGCGGCUGGGUCAAACAUCGCAAAGACUGCUACAAAGCUGACAACGAGGACCACCUGGAAACUGUGUGCCAAUGUUUCUCAGACGACUGCAACGCCGGAACACCACUGACAUUCAGUUUAUUAACAACGUUAUCCGCUUUAUAUGUUGGCGAAAUUGUUUAAAAAAAUAAUAAAAUAUUUACCACUCGUAAGAAAUGGUUUCUAGAAUGAUUAUACUGAAAAAAAGUGGAUCGUAACAAUCUGUGUUGAAAAAUAUUAGUAUUGUAUUUAUAAAAAAAUGUUAUUAAUGACACUUUAAAUGGUUUCCGAACGAUAUCGUACCUAUUAUAAAAUAAAACCGAAUUAAAUUAAUGCAAAGCUAUAGUAAUGGUUUAAAUAUUUUUCUAGUAUAUAACUUCCAAAAUUUUAUUUAUUGAUACUUAAGAAUGUCAAACUAUUUUACUUUAAGUUUAAAUUAUUUUAACACAAAAUGGCGAACGGUUCUCUCUACUAUUUAUUUAAUUAAAUGUGUAUUCAUAAGUUCCGCCAAUAACGUCCAAUAAUGUAAUUUUUAUUAUUAUUUUAUUAAAAUAUUAUGUAUUUUUUAUUUGCAAGAAAAUAAAACAUGAUUAUUUUUUUUUUCUAAAAUAAAAAUCGUAAUCAUUA